AAGUCGUAACAAGGUUUCCGUAGGUGAACCUGCGGAAGGAUCAUUGGCACGUAUCCAAACGUUAACCCCCCUGUGAACCUUUAGUGUGCUCGUACGCUUUGUCAGAGCGUGGCAAUCCCUAGUAAAUCAUCGCCGAACAGUUUUCGAUUUAGGGACUUCCACAAAGAGUGUGCUCGUAGCGCGAGGCAAGUGGCCUGGCAUUCCCAAGCAGUUGGUGUCUGAAAGUGUCACUGGCUGUGUAAGGAUGGCGCAGUCACGAUCGUUGGAGGCCGACACGGCCGACGACCGGGUCACCGGGCUCACGCCCCUUAAUCACAACUUAAUGCAUGUCAGACGCGCCUGCGCUUAAUUGUGCGGCGACCAUAAAACUCGAACAACUGUUAACAAUGGAUAUCUUGGUUCUC
RNAcentral lists this unclassified non-coding RNA (404 nucleotides) under fungal sp. Its description in RNAcentral is "partial internal transcribed spacer region". The stretch from base 1 to 46 matches the Rfam family "Eukaryotic small subunit ribosomal RNA", at positions 1786 to 1831 of the family's 1831-position model. Lineage: Eukaryota; Fungi. The record is from RNAcentral.